RNAcentral lists this ribosomal RNA (369 nucleotides) under uncultured organism. RNAcentral describes it as "bacterial SSU rRNA". It matches the Rfam family "Bacterial small subunit ribosomal RNA", at positions 527 to 896 of the family's 1533-position model. The record is from RNAcentral.
GAAGGGGGCUAGCGUUGCUCGGAAUUACUGGGCGUAAAGGGCGCGUAGGCGGACAGCUUAGUCAGAGGUAAAAGCCCAGGGCUCAACCUUGGAACUGCCUUUGAUACUGGCUGUCUUGAGUUCGGGAGAGGUGAGUGGAAUGCCGAGUGUAGAGGUGAAAUUCGUAGAUAUUCGGCGGAACACCAGUGGCGAAGGCGACUCACUGGCCCGAUACUGACGCUGAGGCGCGAAAGCGUGGGGAGCAAACAGGAUUAGAUACCCUGGUAGUCCACGCUGUAAACGAUGAGUGCUAGUUGUCGGCAUGCAUGCAUGUCGGUGACGCAGCUAACGCAUUAAGCACUCCGCCUGGGGAGUACGGUCGCAAGAUUA